Molecule: long non-coding RNA, 365 nt
Filed under: Capra hircus (goat)
Lineage: Eukaryota; Metazoa; Chordata; Mammalia; Artiodactyla; Bovidae
Description: lncRNA (ENSCHIG00000006905.1)
Source: RNAcentral
AGACCCCAGCAAUUUGUAUGCAGUCUCAUGUGAACUCUUGGAUUUGGAAGGCAGUUUUGCCUCCUUUUUUUUUUUUUUUUUUUUUUAAAGAAAAAAACUCUGCUGUUCAGCUUCUUGUGCUUAAUGAGUCUGUUCGGAAGGGAAAACUAGCAAACAACCAAACAGGAGUUCUGCCCUUUAAGCAAUUGCUUUCUAGGUUCUUUAUCAGAAUAUCAUUGGGCUGUAAAGGAUUCUCCAGAUUUCUUCUGUACAUGGGGAUAGCUCCUAUGGUGGAAAAUGGCAAUUUAUGUGGGAUAAGAACUGACCUUACGCAUGCGUCCUCUGCAAGCUUUCUAUGGAAUCCAGCACUAGGUGACUUUCAAUGA